This 275-nucleotide ribosomal RNA is filed under the name uncultured bacterium. RNAcentral's name for it is "partial 16S ribosomal RNA". It matches the Rfam family "Bacterial small subunit ribosomal RNA", at positions 338 to 605 of the family's 1533-position model. The record is from RNAcentral.
CCUACGGGUGGCUGCAGUGGGGAAUAUUGGACAAUGGGCGCAAGCCUGAUCCAGCAAUGCCGCGUGUGUGAAGAAGGCCUUCGGGUUGUAAAGCACUUUUAUCAGGAACGAAAAGGUUUCGGUUAAUACCCGGGACUGCUGACGGUACCUGAGGAAUAAGCACCGGCUAACUUCGUGCCAGCAGCCGCGGUAAUACGAAGGGUGCAAGCGUUAGUCGGAAUUACUGGGCGUAAAGCGUGCGUAGGUGGUUUCUUAAGUCCGUUGUGAAAGCCCUG